CCUACGGGUGGCAGCAGUGAGGAAUAUUGGUCAAUGGACGGAAGUCUGAACCAGCCAUGCCGCGUGCAGGAAGACGGCUCUAUGAGUUGUAAACUGCUUUUGUACAAGGGUAAACCUGAAUACGUGUAUUCAGCUGAAAGUACUGUACGAAUAAGGAUCGGCUAACUCCGUGCCAGCAGUCGCGGUAAUACGGAGGAUCCAAGCGUUAUCCGGAUUUAUUGGGUUUAAAGGGUGCGUAGACGGAUUGAUAAGUUAGAUGUGAAAUGUUCGGGCUUAACUCGGGAACUGCCUCUAAUACUGUUGGUCUAGAGAGUAGAUGCGGUAGGCGGAAUGUAUGGUGUAGCGGUGAAAUGCUUAGAGAUCAUACAGAACACCGAUUGCGAAGGCAGCUUACCAAUCUAUAUCUGACGUUGAGGCACGAAAGCGUGGGGAGCAAACAGGAUUAGAUACCCCAGUAGUC
RNAcentral lists this ribosomal RNA (460 nucleotides) under uncultured bacterium. RNAcentral's name for it is "partial 16S ribosomal RNA". It matches the Rfam family "Bacterial small subunit ribosomal RNA", at positions 338 to 795 of the family's 1533-position model. The record is from RNAcentral.